Molecule: non-coding RNA, 114 nt
Organism: Ilex paraguariensis (yerba mate)
Lineage: Eukaryota; Viridiplantae; Streptophyta; Magnoliopsida; Aquifoliales; Aquifoliaceae
Source: the annotation of a GenBank genome assembly
AUGAUCAUAACAACACUAAUGCACCAGAUCCCAUCAAAACUCCACUGUUAAGUGUGCUUGCGCAAGAGUAGUACUAGGAUGGGUGACUCCUGGGAAGUCCACGUAUUGCACCCA